GCCUGGUCCAAGCGCAGUGUUUACAACUAAUUGAUCCCAACCAGUUACAGAUUUCUUUGUUCCUUCUCCACUCCCACAGCUUCACUUGACUAGCCAAAA
This 99-nucleotide Y RNA is filed under the name Propithecus coquereli (Coquerel's sifaka). RNAcentral's name for it is "Y RNA (ENSPCOG00000010043.1)". It matches the Rfam family "Y RNA". From Rfam's summary of the family: Y RNAs are components of the Ro ribonucleoprotein particle (Ro RNP), in association with Ro60 and La proteins. The record is from Rfam by way of RNAcentral. Lineage: Eukaryota; Metazoa; Chordata; Mammalia; Primates; Indriidae.